This 292-nucleotide ribosomal RNA is filed under the name uncultured bacterium. RNAcentral's name for it is "partial 16S ribosomal RNA". It matches the Rfam family "Bacterial small subunit ribosomal RNA", at positions 505 to 796 of the family's 1533-position model. The record is from RNAcentral.
GUGCCAGCAGCCGCGGUAAUACGGAGGGUGCAAGCGUUAUCCGGAUUUACUGGGUUUAAAGGGAGCGCAGGCGGAUUGGUAAGUCAGUGGUGAAAUACCCGUGCUUAACAUGGGAACUGCCAUUGAUACUAUCAGUCUUGAAUGUUGUUGAGGUUUGCGGAAUGGGUCAUGUAGCGGUGAAAUGCAUAGAUAUGACCCGGAACACCUAUUGCGAAGGCAGCAGGCUAAACAAAUAUUGACGCUGAGGCUCGAAAGCGUGGGGAUCAAACAGGAUUAGAUACCCUGGUAGUCC